GGGCUCCUAUCCUGAGCCGGUAUAUGGUCUGGUCUAGUGACACCUCAUGGUCUUAGGACAGUCGAGGUCACAGGUUCGAUCCCUGUGGAGACCU
This is a non-coding RNA of Pleodorina starrii, 94 nucleotides long. The record is from the annotation of a GenBank genome assembly. NCBI's taxonomy places the organism in Eukaryota, Viridiplantae, Chlorophyta, Chlorophyceae, Chlamydomonadales, Volvocaceae.